Molecule: non-coding RNA, 621 nt
Organism: Chiloscyllium plagiosum (whitespotted bambooshark)
Lineage: Eukaryota; Metazoa; Chordata; Chondrichthyes; Orectolobiformes; Hemiscylliidae
Source: RefSeq, a predicted model, not a curated record
AGGAGUUCAGAGAAGGAGUCAUGCUAUCAAGGACACCAUUACUGGAGGGAAAUGCAGUGGUCAAGCUGCCAUCCUCUCAAGCAACUGAACUCAUGAGAUCCAGUUCCCUCUGAAAGAAAAACAAAAGGCCUGCUAUCCUUUAACAUCUGUCACCAUCUAAAGAUGCUUCACUACCAAUGUUGAACUUCUGAAGUGUAGCCACUGUUGUAAUAUGUGAAACACAGUACCUUCCAAACCCACAACCUUUACCCACCAGAACGAUAAAGGCAGCAAAUGCACGGUGACACCGUUGUAUUAACCCCCUCGACCACCUGGAGGUUCCUCUCCAAGCCAUAACCAUUCUGACUUGGAACUGUACUGUGACCCCUUCAUUCAAAAUCUUGGGACUUUGUUUGCAACAGUAUUGUGGGUAUCCUGACAUCCCGAGGGUUGCACAGUUUAAGAAGUCAACUCACCAUGAGGCCAAGUUCUUGCAGUUCCUCAGUUCCCUAAGACUACAGUGCAUCCCGUAACCAGGAUUUUUCCACAGCACAGUUAGUCUGCUGACUGGGGAAGGGACCCCGCAGUUCUCAGCAGACAGGAACCUCUCCCACACUCUCUCCAGCUGCAGCAGAGGCGUCC